GAUGAACGCUGGCGGUAUGCUUAACACAUGCAAGUCGAACGGACUCUUCGGAGUUAGUGGCGGACGGGUGAGUAACGCGUGAGAAUCUGGCUUUGGGUUCGGGACAACCACUGGAAACGGUGGCUAAUACCGGAUGUGCCGAGAGGUAAAAGAGAAAUUGCCUGAAGAUGAGCUCGCGUCUGAUUAGCUAGUUGGUGAGGUAAAGGCUCACCAAGGCAGCGAUCAGUAGCUGGUCUGAGAGGUUGACCAGCCACACUGGGACUGAGACACGGCCCAGACUCCUACGGGAGGCAGCAGUGGGGAAUUGUCCGCAAUGGGCGAAAGCCUGACGGAGCAAUACCGCGUGAGGGAAGAAGGCUCUUGGGUUGUAAACCUCUUUUCUUAGGGAAGAACAAAAUGACGGUACCUAAGGAAUCAGCAUCGGCUAACUCCGUG
RNAcentral lists this ribosomal RNA (435 nucleotides) under uncultured bacterium. RNAcentral describes it as "partial 16S ribosomal RNA". It matches the Rfam family "Bacterial small subunit ribosomal RNA", at positions 28 to 507 of the family's 1533-position model. The record is from RNAcentral.